GUUAUCGUUUAUUUGAUAGUACCUUACUACUUGGAUAACCGUGGUAAUUCUAGAGCUAAUACAUGCUGAAAACCCUGACUUCGGAAAGGGUGUAUUUAUUAGAUAAAAAACCAAUGCCCUUUGGGCUCUUUGGUGAUUCAUGAUAACUUAACGGAUCGCAUGGCCUUGCGCCGGCGACGGUUCAUUCAAAUUUCUGCCCUAUCAACUUUCGAUGGUAAGGUAUUGGCUUACCAUGGUUUCAACGGGUAACGGGGAAUUAGGGUUCGAUUCCGGAGAGGGAGCCUGAGAAACGGCUACCACAUCCAAGGAAGGCAGCAGGCGCGCAAAUUACCCAAUCCCGACACGGGGAGGUAGUGACAAUAAAUACUGAUACAGGGCUCUUUUGGGUCUUGUAAUCGGAAUGAGUACAAUUUAAACCUCUUAACGAGGAACAAUUGGAGGGCAAGUCUGGUGCCAGCAGCCGCGGUAAUUCCAGCUCCAAUAGCGUAUAUUAAAGUUGUUGCAGUUAAAAAGCUCGUAGUUGAAUCUUGGGCCUGGCUGGCCGGUCCGCCUCACCGCGUGUACUGGUCUGGCCGGGCCUUUCCUUCUGGAGAACCUCAUGCCCUUCAGUGGGUGUGUUGGGGAACCAGGACUUUUACUUUGAAAAAAUUAGAGUGUUCAAAGCAGGCCUUUGCUCGAAUACGUUAGCAUGGAAUAAUAGAAUAGGACGUGCGGUCCUAUUUUGUUGGUUUCUAGGACCGCCGUAAUGAUUAAUAGGGAUAGUCGGGGGCAUCAGUAUUCAAUUGUCAGAGGUGAAAUUCUUGGAUUUAUUGAAGACUAACUACUGCGAAAGCAUUUGCCAAGGAUGUUUUCAUUAAUCAGUGAACGAAAGUUAGGGGAUCGAAGACGAUCAGAUACCGUCGUAGUCUUAACCGUAAACUAUGCCGACUAGGGAUCGGGCG
Molecule: ribosomal RNA, 941 nt
Filed under: Lophiostoma cornisporum
Lineage: Eukaryota; Fungi; Ascomycota; Dothideomycetes; Pleosporales; Lophiostomataceae
Description: SSU rRNA
Rfam family: Eukaryotic small subunit ribosomal RNA
Source: RNAcentral